AACGAACGCUGGCGGCAUGCCUAACACAUGCCAGUCGAACGAGACCUUCGGGUCUAGUGGCGCACGGGUGCGUAACGCGUGGGAACCUGCCCUUAGGUUCGGAAUAACUCCCCGAAAGGGGUGCUAAUACCGGAUAAUGUCUUCGGACCAAAGAUUUAUCGCCUUUGGAUGGGCCCGCGUUGGAUUAGCUAGUUGGUAGGGUAAAAGCCUACCAAGGCGACGAUCCAUAGCUGGUCUGAGAGGAUGAUCAGCCACACUGGGACUGAGACACGGCCCAGACUCCUACGGGAGGCAGCAGUGGGGAAUAUUGGACAAUGGGCGAAAGCCUGAUCCAGCAAUGCCGCGUGAGUGGUGAAGGCCUUAGGGUUGUAAAGCUCUUUUACCCGGGAUGAUAAUGACAGUACCGGGAGAAUAAGCUCCGGCUAACUCCGUG
Molecule: ribosomal RNA, 433 nt
Filed under: uncultured bacterium
Lineage: Bacteria
Description: partial 16S ribosomal RNA
Rfam family: Bacterial small subunit ribosomal RNA
Source: RNAcentral